RNAcentral lists this ribosomal RNA (666 nucleotides) under uncultured Micromonosporaceae bacterium. Its description in RNAcentral is "bacterial SSU rRNA". It matches the Rfam family "Bacterial small subunit ribosomal RNA", at positions 136 to 816 of the family's 1533-position model. Lineage: Bacteria; Bacillati; Actinomycetota; Actinomycetes; Micromonosporales; Micromonosporaceae. The record is from RNAcentral.
CUUUGGGAUAACCCUCGGAAACGGGGGCUAAUACCGGGUAUGACCAUCUGUCGCAUGGUGGGUGGCGGAAAGUUUUUUCGGCUAGGGAUGGGCUCGCGGCCUAUCAGCUUGUUGGUGGGGUGAUGGCCUACCAAGGCGACGACGGGUAGCCGGCCUGAGAGGGCGACCGGCCACACUGGGACUGAGACACGGCCCAGACUCCUACGGGAGGCAGCAGUGGGGAAUAUUGCACAAUGGGCGGAAGCCUGAUGCAGCGACGCCGCGUGAGGGAUGACGGCCUUCGGGUUGUAAACCUCUUUCGACCCUGACGAAGCGUGAGUGACGGUAGGGGGAGAAGAAGCGCCGGCCAACUACGUGCCAGCAGCCGCGGUAAGACGUAGGGCGCGAGCGCUGUCCGGAUUUAUUGGGCGUAAAGAGCUCGUAGGCGGCUCGUUGCGUCGGCUGUGAAAACCCGCGGCUUAACUGUGGGCUUGCAGCCGAUACGGGCGGGCUGGAGUUCGGUAGGGGAGACUGGAAUUCCUGGUGUAGCGGUGAAAUGCGCAGAUAUCAGGAGGAACACCGGUGGCGAAGGCGGGUCUCUGGGCCGAUACUGACGCUGAGGAGCGAAAGCGUGGGGAGCGAACAGGAUUAGAUACCCUGGUAGUCCAUGCUGUAAACGUUGGGCGC